UCGGCCCCUCGCUCGCUGCCCCCGGCACUUCCCUCCCGAAAAGCCUCGGCUCGCCCCAGCCCUUCUCUCCUGGAAAACUCGGCCAGCCGCCGCCGCCUCUCCUGCCAGCCUCGGGCACGUCCCAGCCUUUCUCUUCUCAAAACCUUGGGUGUCCCCUGAAUUUUUCUUCCAAAAACCUCGGGAACUCCCCAACCCUUCUCUUCCCAAACGCUUAGACAGGUCCCUCGCUUUCUCCUCUGAAGAGCUCGAGCGUGUCCCAACCCUGCUGUCCCAAAAACCUGCGGCACCCCCAGCCCUCCUCUUACCCAAGCUUUGGGCACGUCACAGAUCUUCUCUUCUGGGAACAGCGGAUACCCUCAGCCCAUCUCUUCUGAAAACCUUUGGUAACUGAAAAGAGGCAAGUAUGAAGAGCAGCAACCUUUUUUUUGUUUGUUUUGUGCCGUUUGAAGGAAAACUCAGUGUCAUGAUAAUGGAUCCAGCUAUUUGCUGGUACAAAAGAUAUUUCCAAAGUGCUAGGUGCCCAAACUCCAAGAAAAGUCAGUGGAACUGGAGACAAUAACAGGUUUGAAAGCUGGCUGAGACUGCAGCAUUUGUGUUUUACUGAAGUGUUCUUGCAAUCUCCUUGGAGCUGAGCACCGCACCUCUGCUGCAGACUUCCUCCCUCAGAUGCAGGGCAGGAGGACUAGGGGAAGGAACAAUGGUCAUUUCUGGAGCAUUUUGAAGGCUCUUGCAUCAAGCACUGGUAUAAUGUAAUAUAAAUCCUUUAUAAAUAAAGA
Rhea pennata is the source of this 776-nucleotide long non-coding RNA. RefSeq lists it as uncharacterized. The transcript has 3 exons. The record is from RefSeq and is a predicted model, not a curated record. NCBI's taxonomy places the organism in Eukaryota, Metazoa, Chordata, Aves, Rheiformes, Rheidae.